RNAcentral lists this microRNA (21 nucleotides) under Citrus sinensis (sweet orange). Its description in RNAcentral is "csi-miR399e-5p". Its record names the gene csi-miR399e-5p. Lineage: Eukaryota; Viridiplantae; Streptophyta; Magnoliopsida; Sapindales; Rutaceae. The record is from miRBase by way of RNAcentral.
GGGCAAUUCUCUAUUGGCAGU